Molecule: ribosomal RNA, 433 nt
Filed under: uncultured bacterium
Lineage: Bacteria
Description: partial 16S ribosomal RNA
Rfam family: Bacterial small subunit ribosomal RNA
Source: RNAcentral
AACGAACGCUGGCGGCAUGCCUAACACAUGCAAGUCGAACGAGACCUUCGGGUCUAGUGGCGCACGGGUGCGUAACGCGUGGGAACCUGCCCUUAGGUUCGGAAUAACUCCCCGAAAGGGGUGCUAAUACCGGAUCAUGUCUUCGGACCAAAGAUUUAUCGCCUUUGGAUGGGCCCGCGUUGGAUUAGCUAGUUGGUAGGGUAAAAGCCUACCAAGGCGACGAUCCAUAGCUGGUCUGAGAGGAUGAUCAGCCACACUGGGACUGAGCCACGGCCCAGACUACUACGGGAGGCAGCAGUGGGGAAUAUUGGACAAUGGGCGAAAGCCUGAUCCAGCAAUGCCGCGUGAGUGAUGAAGGCCUUAGGGUUGUAAAGCUCUUUUACCCGGGAUGAUAAUGACAGUACCGGGAGAAUAAGCUCCGGCUAACUCCGUG